AAUCAACGCUGGCGGCGUGCCUCAGACAUGCAAGUCGAACGAUUAAAGCUCUCUUCGGAGAGUGUAUAGAGUGGCGCACGGGUGAGUAACACGUAAGUAAUCUACCCUCGAGUGGGGAAUAACAACCGGAAACGGUUGCUAAUACCGCAUAAUGCAGCGGCACCGCAAGGUGACAGUUGUUAAAGAUUUAUCGCUUGAGGAGGAGCUUGCGGCAGAUUAGCUAGUUGGUAGGGUAACGGCUUACCAAGGCUACGAUCUGUAACCGGUCUAAGAGGACGGCCGGUCACACUGACACUGAAUAACGGGUCAGACUCCUACGGGAGGCAGCAGUCGGGAAUUUUGGACAAUGGGCGAAAGCCUGAUCCAGCCAUGCCGCGUGAGUGAAGAAGGCCU
Molecule: ribosomal RNA, 393 nt
Filed under: uncultured bacterium
Lineage: Bacteria
Description: bacterial SSU rRNA
Rfam family: Bacterial small subunit ribosomal RNA
Source: RNAcentral